RNAcentral lists this ribosomal RNA (818 nucleotides) under Leptodactylus jolyi (Joly's foam frog). RNAcentral describes it as "partial 16S ribosomal RNA". It matches the Rfam family "Bacterial large subunit ribosomal RNA", at positions 1509 to 2589 of the family's 2925-position model. Lineage: Eukaryota; Metazoa; Chordata; Amphibia; Anura; Leptodactylidae. The record is from RNAcentral.
CACUUUAGUACCAAGCAAUUCUAUACCCCUAUAGAAUCUUUUAUGUUAAAACUAGUAACAAGAAGUACCCCUUCUCUCUAAUGCAAGUAUAAAUCAGCAAGGACCUACCACUGAUAGUUAUCAUCCAUGAGCUGACAGUAGAAACACCUCAAGAAAACCCUACUACACUCUAUGUUAACCUAACACAAGAGCAUUUCAAGAAAGAUUAAAAGAAAAAGAAGGAACUCGGCAAACAUUAACCCCGCCUGUUUACCAAAAACAUCGCCUCUUGAUAAACCUAUAAGAGGUCCAGCCUGCCCAGUGACUCUGUUCAACGGCCGCGGUAUCCUAACCGUGCAAAGGUAGCGUAAUCACUUGUUCUUUAAAUGAGGACUAGUAUGAAUGGCAUCACGAAGGUUAUGCUGUCUCCUUUUUCUAAUCAGUGAAACUAAUCUUCCCGUGAAGAAGCGGGAAUAAUGAUAUAAGACGAGAAGACCCUAUGGAGCUUUAAACAAAUAUACAAUUGCCCACUUAAUUAAAAAUUUCAGAAGACAAGCACUUACUCAGGCACUUUGAUAUAAAGUUUUAGGUUGGGGUGACCGCGGAGCAAAAAACAACCUCCGCAGUGAAAGGGGAGAUCCCCCUAAACUAAGGGCUACUACCCUAAGUAUCAACAAACUGACACCAGUUGACCCAAUACACUUGAUCAACGAACCAAGUUACCCUAGGGGUAACAGCGCAAUCCACUUCAAGAGCUCCUAUCGCAAGUGGGUUUACGGCCUCGUGUUGGUCAGGGGUAUCCUAGUGGUGCAGCCGUACUACGGUUCGUUGUUCACGUU